CCUACGGGUGGCAGCAGUAAGGAAUAUUGGUCAAUGGGCGAGAGCCUGAACCAGCAAAGUAGCGUGAAGGAUGACUGCCCUACGGGUUGUAAACUUCUUUUAUAAAGGAAUAAAGUGAGGCACGUGUGCCUUUUUGCCUGUACUUUAUGAAUAAGGAUAGGCUAACUCCGUGCCAGCAGCCGCGGUAAUACGGAGGAUCCGAGCGUUAUCCGGAUUUAUUGGGUUUAAAGGGAGCGUAGAGGGGUUGUUAAGUCAGUUGUGAAAGUUUGCGGCUCAACCGUAAAAUUGCAAUUGAUACUGGCAUGCUUGAGUGCGGAUGCCGUGGGAGGAAUGUGUGGUGUAGCGGUGAAAUGCAUAGAUAUCACGCAGAACACCGAUUGCGAAGGCAGCUCACUAAUCCGCGAUUGACGCUGAGGCACGAAAGCGUGGGUAUCAAACAGGAUUAGAUACCCUAGUAGUC
Molecule: ribosomal RNA, 460 nt
Filed under: uncultured bacterium
Lineage: Bacteria
Description: partial 16S ribosomal RNA
Rfam family: Bacterial small subunit ribosomal RNA
Source: RNAcentral